CGCGAAAACUUUGCAAUACACGAAAGUGUGACAGGGCUAUCCCGAGUGCCAUCCGCUGAGGAAGGCUUUUACCCAGUCUAGAACGCUGGGGGAAUAAGGAGAGGGCAAGUCUGGUGUCAGCCGCCGCGGUAAUACCAGCUCUCCGAGUGGUGUGGAUGUUUAUUGGGCCUAAAGCAUCCGUAGCUGGCUAAGUUAGUCCCUUGUUAAAUCCACCGAAUUAAUCGUUGGAUUGCGGGGGAUACUGCUUGGCUAGGGGACGAGAGAGGCAGACGGUAUUUCCGGGGUAGGGGUGAAAUCCUAUAAUCCCGGGAAGACCACCAGUGGCGAAGGCUGUCUGCUAGAACGCGCCCGACGGUGAGGGAUGAAAGCUGGGGGAGCGAACCGGAUUAGAUACCCGGGUAGUCCCAGCUGUAAACGAUGCAGGCUAGGUGUUUGGACGGCCACGUGCCGUUCUAGUGCCGCAGGGAAGCUGUUAAGCCUGCCGCCUGGGGAGUACGAUCGCAAGAUUGAAACUUAAAGGAAUUGGCGGGGGAGCAC
This 537-nucleotide ribosomal RNA is filed under the name uncultured archaeon. RNAcentral describes it as "bacterial SSU rRNA". It matches the Rfam family "Archaeal small subunit ribosomal RNA", at positions 340 to 879 of the family's 1478-position model. The record is from RNAcentral.